Molecule: ribosomal RNA, 492 nt
Filed under: uncultured bacterium
Lineage: Bacteria
Description: partial 16S ribosomal RNA
Rfam family: Bacterial small subunit ribosomal RNA
Source: RNAcentral
AGUGAACGCUGGCGGUAGGCCUAACACAUGCAAGUCGAACGGCAGCACAGUAAGAGCUUGCUCUUACGGGUGGCGAGUGGCGGACGGGUGAGGAAUACAUCGGAAUCUACUUUUUCGUGGGGGAUAACGUAGGGAAACUUACGCUAAUACCGCAUACGACCUACGGGUGAAAGCAGGGGAUCUUCGGACCUUGCGCGAUUGAAUGAGCCGAUGUCGGAUUAGCUAGUUGGCGGGGUAAAGGCCCACCAAGGCGACGAUCCGUAGCUGGUCUGAGAGGAUGAUCAGCCACACUGGAACUGAGAUACGGUCCAGACUCCUACGGGAGGCAGCAGCGGGGAAUAUUGGACAAUGGGCGCAAGCCUGAUCCAGCCAUACCGCGUGGGUGAAGAAGGCCUUCGGGUUGUAAAGCCCUUUUGUUGGGAAAGAAAAGCAGCAGGUUAAUACCCCGCUGUUCUGACGGUACCCAAAGAAUAAGCACCGGCUAACUUCGUG